UAUAUAUAUAUAUAUAUAUAUAUAUAUAUAUAUAUAUAUAAAUAAUUUAUUAAUUUUAAAUCUAAUUUUUUAUUAAUCUUAUUUUUUUCUUUCCUCCUACUUUCUUUUAUUUUCUUUCUCCCACCUUUUUCCUAACCAAACAUAAUCUAUCUUCUCUCUUUUUCCUUCCUUAUACUCUCUGAAACCAAACAUAAUCUUAAAGUCAGGCAUCUCCCGCGAUAGUCAAACUAAUGCACUAAUGCUUUAACUAAAUUUCUAAAGUUUUGGUAAACAGCCAACCACCACUGCACACGGAAUUUCGCUUAAAUCAUACUGUUUUCAGACUCAAACCUCUGUGAUUUCAAACAAUAGUUCCAACUUCCAAUGGGAAAAUACUUCACGUCAGAAUCCACGAAAAAACGGGGAGUGAGGUAGAAUAAGAUUGAUACUUGCUGGAGUUUCUUUGAUGGGGGAUAAUGGCCUUUGACUAUUGGGAAGAUGAUGAUGUAGUGGUGGGCUGGAAGGAUCACGAUGGAAUUUUCUACUCUUUUCAAGCUCCACGAUCUGUCUGUAAUCGGCCUCUACUCCUAAUCCAUUAUCAACUCUUUUUUUUAUACAACUUGCGUCGUGUUUUUUGGGUUGUUUGGAAAAGUGGUUCCAAAUCCAUUGGAGCGUAGGAUUUGAAACCUGAAAGCGAUUGUGUAAGUGGAUAGGAUUAAAGAGAGAUGAUGAAUGGAAUGAACACUUGAACGAGUCUUCAAGUGUUUUUGGUCAGCCAAGGGCAUUUAAAGAUCAGUCCUACCUCAUGAAUCUUUUUCACCCCUUGAUUUGUGUCUAUCUGCGAUGAUUGAGAAUUUAAACUUGAGGGAAAAAAAAAUUAAUAAUUAAAAUCAAUAAAUUAUUUUAUAUACUUUUUAAAAAAUAUUUCACUUAUUUUACUUUAUGAUUAAAUAAUUUUUUAAUACAUAAAUUUUUAACUAAUUUUAAUUAUAUAUACAUAAUUUUUUAAUAUAAAACCAAAUAUGUAAAUACUAUUUUCUUUAACAUUUGUUUUUUCUUUUCAUAACAUUUGUCAUAAACCGCACAUAGCCUCAAGGUAUGAGGUUGUUCAAGAUCAAGAAUGAAAAUAUCGAUAAUCAUAUAUCGAUACUUCGAUUUCGAAUAUAUAUGAACGAAUAUUUUAACAAAAAUAUUGAUGGAUCUAAAAUUGAUAAAAAAAAAUCAUGGAAAUGUAAAAAAAAAAAAACAUAUAUAUAUAAAACCUCUUAAAAAUAAAAUUAGAAGUAUAAUAAACAUUUUAAAAUUGUUAUAUAUAUAUUAUAAUUUAUCAUAUUUGAUAGUAAUAUCGUGCACAUCUAUAAAAAAAAACAUGAAUUUUAUAGAUGUACUUAUUAUUAGAUUACAUCAAAUAUAUAUUCCACAAUAAUAUUGUGAUAUUUGAUUAUAAUAUAUCUAAUUUUAUAAUAUAUUUAUUAUAAAAAUUAUGAUUUAUUUAAUUUAACUGUAUUAAAUGAUAUAAAAUAACAGAUGAUAUAUGUAAAUAUUUUUUAACAUUUAAUUAAUAUAUUAAUAAUAUUAAAAACACUAUAAUGAAAAUUAUCGUGACAAUGUUUAGGGAAUUUGUGUUGGGUUAGGUUCGGUGUGAUCCCGCCCCCGAAAUAUUGAGAAAUAUUGGCGAUUUGAAAAAUCACCUUUUCAUGCCUCCCGAUAUAUCACAUAUCGGGGAUAUAUCAUGAUAUUUACCGAAAUUUUCGUCCUUAUUCAAGACAACCAUGAUUUUGGGGGCGACAGAUGAAGAUGUGUGACAUGCCCCAAACUUACGCGUUAGGUCAAAGUUUGUGUUAGGCCUCGUGCCAAACAUAUUGACUUUGGGUUGGCCAAAACUUGGCCCAACCCACCAAAUACUGUGGAUGUAAAGCCCGUAACCAACAACCCCAUGUUGAAAGUUGAAACCCAACAUUUCUAGAGAGAGAUUUUGACAAAGAGUGCAGGCAUUCAAUAUGUUGACCCUUAAACACCUGUUGAAGAGGUUUCCAAGCCAGCUAACCAAGUAAUCAAUCUCCGACUGGGUUUGGACUCAUUGGAAUGCUACUCCUUAACCAAAGCCUCAUCCUAAGUAAACUAAAAGUAAAAGUCCGUCUGGGAGAGUGAUUUGAAAAGAAGCUAAAAGCAUAAUGCUUGAUACCUCUUUCUUACAAAAUACAAUCAAUUAAUAAGUUAUUCUUCCAAAACUAAAGCUAUCCAAACAAAAGUGAUACUAAUAAAAUUCUACACAUAAAAUUACUUUAACCACAAUCACUCCCAAACAAGCUCGUUUAUCAAUCCGGAACAGCAAACAAGUUAUUUUCAGAUAACAUAUUUUAAUUAUUUUCACUUAUAUUUACUUGUUUUAGGAGGACUGUUUAGAAAAAUAAUUAUUCAAAUACAAAGAAUAAUUUAAAAAUAAAAUAAAGUUUUACAUAUAAAAGUUAUUUUUUAAAGCAUAUUUGAAAACAUAGAAAACAUGUUAAAAAUAUUUCAACUUCCCAAACAUACUUUUAUUCUAUAAAAUAUCAAAAACCAAUUUUCAAAAACUGUUUUUUAAAAUAAUUAUUUUUUAAAUCAACUCUCAAUAUACAAGUGAAUACGGUUAAAAGGUUUUAUCUAAAAAUACUUUGAUUUUAAGAACAAAAAAUUAUUUUUUAUUUUUUGGUUAUUAAAUGUGUUUUCCUAUUUUUUUUGUUUUGGAAACAUAAAACUAUCCAUAAAAAAUAAAAAAAUAAAAAAUAAAAAAUAGUUGCUAAAUAGGAACUUAGAUUCUAAUGCACCUCUGCCCAAGUUCAACCAAAAAAAUAUAGGUGUUGGAUAAAACUUUCAAAAACACUUAUAAAAAAAUCAGUUUUUAAAAACCGUUAGUAAAAAUCAUUUUUAUUUAUUUUCAAGAAUAAGAAUGUGUUUGACAAUGAUUUUAAGAAACGUUUCUAAUAUUAGAAACGCUUCUUAGAAUCACUACCAAACAGGCUCUAAAAUUAUAUAUGAUAGUGAUUUUAAAAAGUGUUACUAAUAUUUCUAAUACUUGAAAAAAUUUGAAGCACUUCAUAGAAUGACUGUCAAACAGACUUUGAAAUUAGGUUUGAAAAAUACUAUACAAUUGUACGAUGUAAAAGUUGUUUGCCUAUUUUUCAUGUUACCAAUUGUUUCUCAAAAUUUUCUACACAAAAUGGAUAAAAAUAAAUAACUGAACAACUGAAAGCACCUUGAAUUCGUUCUAAAAAGCCAUCCCUGUUAUCAGAGCAGAUUUUCAAAAUAACCGUUUUCAAUCCAAAAUUUGUCAAUUGUGUUUUUGAAAUUAGAAAACUGUUUUAUAUUCUAAAGAAAGGAACACAGUUUUUAAGAACAGUUCCAAAUCACCCAUAUUCUCAUAUUUCUCUUUUAUCAAUUGUAUGUCAUCAAAUUUGACUAAAGGAAUGCAACCCUAAAAGAAUGCCUAUUUGGUUAGAAGACACAUACAAAAUUUCAAUGAUAGGCUCUCAAAAUAAAAAAUAAGCACCAAACUCAAGUAAGCAAUACUAAAAUUAAUGAAAGGUCUACAGCAUAAAUUGUAAGAGAGAAAUCAUACCUUACAUCCUCUUCCAACAUUCUAGCAAUCUGUCAUCCUUCCUCAAGCUGAUCUCAGUCCAAAAAUUCACCAAUCUUCAAGGCCUCAAACCAGCCACAACCCUAAAAGAAUGCCUAUUUGGUUAGAACAUACAAAAUUUCAAUGAUAGGCUCUCAAAAUAAAAAAUAAGCACCAAACUCAAGAAAGCAAUACUAAAAUUAAUGGAAAGCCUAUAGCAUAAAUUGUAGGAGAGAAAUCAUACCUUACAUUCUCUUCCAACAUUCUAGCAAUCUAUCAUCCUUCCUCAAGCUGAUCUCAGUCCAAAAAUUCACCAAUCUUCAAGGAUCAAACCAGCCACAAAUUCAUUAUUUCCAACUCCUUAAGCCAAGAAAUGGCAAGCUCUACCUCAUCCCAAGGAGUCCCACAAUGCUAUACUAAUGGGGUUUUGCCAAAUUUCUAUAUUUAAGAUUCUAUCAAAGGGAUGGAGCUGUUCAAACUGCAUAUCCAGUCAUCCAAUAUCGAUAAGUCUGGUUGUUUUCUUUUCUAUUUUGAUGCUAAUUUCAGAAGAAAACUUCAUGAAAGAUGCCAAAAACUUCAACACCUCUGAGUUUAAGAGACCAACAAGCCCUAGUUCAUCAAUUCUUCAAGCAUAAAACCAGCUUUGAAACCAUUCUCAUGAACUGAUUCUUGUACCAGACAACCCAAAUGCCAAAUCCAUGUCUUCCUCAACAUUCUUUCAACCCAAAUUUUAAUAGUUUGAACCCAUUGCAAAAUUACAUAUGCCCCACUUCUCAAUACUUCAGACCUUGACCCAUUGCCAUUGAUCCCAUUGGAAGAAUUCUCAGCAUUCAAAGUAUUAGUAUUACAGCCUACCAAAUCACUUCCUCUAUGAUUUGUCACCCCAACCAUACAUUUCCAAGAAUCCCACUUAAA
RNAcentral lists this long non-coding RNA (4489 nucleotides) under Vitis vinifera (wine grape). RNAcentral's name for it is "long non-coding RNA (VVIN_LNC007199)". The record is from RNAcentral. Lineage: Eukaryota; Viridiplantae; Streptophyta; Magnoliopsida; Vitales; Vitaceae.